GAAGCCAAACACAGGCAGCCUGGACAGUAGCAAGGAGAAGUUCAUCUACAGGCUGAGAAAGGGCAGCAUGGUGGUAGAAUGUGCCUUUGGUCAUUUAAAAGC
Molecule: non-coding RNA, 102 nt
Organism: Chelonoidis abingdonii (Abingdon island giant tortoise)
Lineage: Eukaryota; Metazoa; Chordata; Testudines; Testudinidae
Source: RefSeq, a predicted model, not a curated record